This 270-nucleotide long non-coding RNA is filed under the name Elaeis guineensis (African oil palm). RNAcentral's name for it is "long non-coding RNA (EGUI_LNC071199)". Lineage: Eukaryota; Viridiplantae; Streptophyta; Magnoliopsida; Arecales; Arecaceae. The record is from RNAcentral.
UCAAGGUGGAUGGGAAGGCCCGGCAUAGAAUGGCAUCGGGAGCACCGUGAAGCAGCAUCAUCGUCCGGAAGGCUUCCAGAUGAUCAACCGGGUUUGAAGUCCCGUCGUAGCUUUCGAACUGGGGGAGCUUGAAGUUUGGCGGGAUCGGUUCCUGCAUGAUCAUUUGAGAGAAGGGAGGGUCAGUACAAAUAUCCUCACCAUAAGCGGGGGGAGCAUGGCGGAGUUCUUCGAUCCGCCGGUUCAUCUCUUGGAGUCUCCGGUCCAGAAAAU